GAUGAAGAACGUAGCGAAAUGCGAUAAGUAAUGUGAAUUGCAGAAUUCAGUGAAUCAUCGAAUCUUUGAACGCACAUUACGCCCGCCAGUAUUCUGGCGGGCAUGCCUGUUCGAGCGUCAUUUCAACCCUCAAGCCCAGCUUGGUGUUGGGGAUCGGCACAGGCGCCCUCGGGCGCCCGCCGUCCCCUAAAUCUAGUGGCGGUCCCGCUGCAGCCUCCUCUGCGUAGUAGUUUUCUCCUCGCAAGGGCAGCUCGGUGGCGACCUCGCCGUAAAACCCCCAACUUCUGAAAGGUUGACCUCGAAUCAGGUAGGAAUACCCGCUGAACUUAAGCAUAUCAAUAAGCGGAGGA
Molecule: unclassified non-coding RNA, 350 nt
Filed under: soil metagenome
Description: partial contains 5.8S ribosomal RNA, internal transcribed spacer 2, and large subunit ribosomal RNA
Rfam family: 5.8S ribosomal RNA (bases 1-120)
Source: RNAcentral